AUUUUUCUAAACAUAAUGCUAUUGCACACUUAAUAGACUAUAAUGCAGUGUAAAUAUAACUUUUCGAAAUAAUUUCAAAGGUAUUACAAGAAAACUAUAGAACAGUACCCCUUAUGGAUACUGAUGCAAAUAUCUUCAACAAAAUACUUGCAAGCUAAAUUCAACAGGAUAUUAAAAGGUUAUACAUGAUGACCAAGUGGGAUUUAUUCCUGGAAUACAAGUGUGCUUCAACAUAUAAAAAUCAAGUCAUGUAAUGUACCACAUUAACAGAAUGAAGGGGGAAAAUGCACAUAAUUAUCUCAAUUAAAUUAGAAAAAGCAUUUGACAAAACUUAUACCCUUUCACAAUUGAAAACACUCAAUAAACUAGGAAUAGAAGGAAAUUAUAUUAACAUAAUAAAGGCCAUAUAUGAAAAACCCAUGAGUAAAAUCAUACUCAAUGGUGAGAGACUGAAAGUUUUUCCUCUAAGAUUGGAAUAAGAAAAUAAUGCCCACUCAUGCCACUUCUAUUCAACACAGUACUGGAAGUCCUAGCCAGAACAAUUAAGCAAGCAAAAUAAGUAAAAGGCAUUCAAGUUAUACAAGAAAUAAAAUUAGUUAGUUCUGUUUGCAGUUGAAAUAAUUUUAUAUGUGGAAAAUCCUAAAGACUCCACCAAAAAACUGUGAGAAGUAAUAAAUGAAUUCAGCAAUGUUGAUGGAUACAAAAUCAAUACACAAGACUGGAUGUAGUGACUCAUUCCUGUAAUCCCAGCACUUUGGGAGGCUGAGGUGAGAGGAUUGCUUGAGGCCAUGAGUUUGAGACCAGCCUGGGCAAUAUAGCAAGACUCUGAUCUACAAAAAAAUUAUUUUAAAAAUUAGCCAUCUGUGGUGGUGCAUGCCUAUAGUCCUAGCCACUCAGGAGGCUGAAACAGGAGGAUUGCCUGAGUGCAGGAGUUCAAGGUUACAGUGAGCUAUGAUCACACCACCGCACUCCAGCGUGAGUGACAGAGUGAAACUCUGUCUUUUAAAAAAAAUUAUUUACAUUUCUAUACACUAACAGUGAGAAAUCUGAAAGAAUAAUUAAAAAACAAUCUCAUUUAAAAUACUUAUGAUUAAACUUAACCAAGGAAGCAAAAGACUUGUACACUAAAAACUAUGAAAUGUUACUGAAAGAAAUUUAAGAAGACAAAUAAAUGCAAAGACUGUCCAAUGAGGAAAAUACAGUCUUCAACAAAUGUUGCUGGGGAAACUGGAUAUCCACACAGAAAAGAAUGAAGUUAUACCUUUACAUUAUACCAUAUACAAAAAUUAACUCAAAAUGGAUGAAAGACCAAAAUAUAAGAGCUAAAAGCAUGAAACUCUUAGCAGAAGACACAGGGACAAGCCUCAUAAUAUUGGAUUUCACAAUGAUUUCUUGGAUAUGACACUAGAAGAACAGGAAACAAAAGAAAAUAACAGAUAAAUUGUACUACAUCAAAAUGAAAGACUUUUGUGCAUCAGAGGAUGUAGCAAUGGAAUGAAACGGGAAAAUAUUUUCAAAUCAUGUAUCCGAUAAGAGAUUAAUAGCUAGAAAAUAUAAAGAACUCCUACAACUCAGCAAAAACAACAACAGAAAACAACCCAAUUCAAAAAUGGGCAAAGGACUUAGACAUUUCUCCAAAGAAGAUAUACAAGUAGCAAUAAACACAUGAAAGAUUUUAAGUGUGUUUUGGAUAAAGAGCCAAGAGUGUGGCUGGAUACCUUUUGCUAAAGACAUUUAAUGUGUGAUUAAUAAAUCCAAUUAAUCCUCUCAGCUGAAUCGAGGAAAAAUAUACAGUAUCCAGAAAGGAUCUGUGGAUAACCCUCUUGUCUGAUGGCAUGGAUCCCUUUGACACACACAGGAGACCCACAAGGUUUUUUCAGAAGAACGUUAUACCACUAAAAAGACUGCCACUUUGACCUGAAGAAAACAAAAAAAGGGAAAAAUGAAAGAAAGCUAUCAGACAUCUAGGAUUCUACAGGCAGUAAAAAGGAUGAUAGAGUUACUUGACCGUUAACAUCUGACAUCCUUUAAGAUAAAGGAAGAAUGACUCAGAGGGCAGAGCCAUGGAUACAGAGGAGGACGCCAGUAGAGCAGUGAUGCCUUUGUGGCCCAGACAAUAAAGCAUCAAGCCACAGAGGGUAAUUCUCAGGCCUUGAAACCCGGCCAGGUUUCUGUUUUUUGUUUUUUUGAGGCAGAAUCUCACUCUGUCGCCCAGGCUGAAGUGCAGUGGUGUGAUUUUGGCUC
This 2244-nucleotide long non-coding RNA is filed under the name Homo sapiens (human). Its description in RNAcentral is "HSALNT0284933". The record is from RNAcentral. Lineage: Eukaryota; Metazoa; Chordata; Mammalia; Primates; Hominidae.